CGACACGCGGGAGUUUUGGCCCGUGGCUUACGGCGUUAGGCAGACUGGCAGGCCCUGCCCGGGUCUUGAGUUACCUGAAGGCCGAGCUGGCCGACACCAGCUGACGCUCUCCGCGGAAAUGAGGAAACCGAUGACUGCUGGCGUUAUCGCUUGAGUUAGUAGCGAGGCAAACGUCUACGUUACUCAGCGCAGAGAUACCCAGAGUAUCGUAAAAGUGGUUUAUAGCACAUCGCGUCUGCUGGUCUCCCUGAAGGGAGACGCAAAGGUCUGACGACUGACAGGGUCACAGGGGGCCGAGGUGCCCAGAAGAAACUGGGAGGUGUGCUGUUUCUCCUGCGUUUCUAUCACUUGCCUGUUUUUUCCUGCAGCACAGUGAGGAGAUACUAGCUCAGGUCUUGCAAGCGGUAUAACUCUGUCAGAGUCACUCUACACCCGUGCUAAUUAACUGAGCCUUUCAGCAGAGCUAAUUAACUGAAGCAGAAUACUUCAAUGGCCCAGCAAUCCUAUGCAUCAAGUUUUGGACAACCAAGAGGACACCGAUGAGAAUAAGAGAUUUAGAAAGCAUGCUAAUGAGGAGAAUUUAAAGAUCUGGACAGACACAAGAUAACUGGGCACAAGAUAACUGUCUUCAGUUCUAUGCAAGGCAUGCAUCGAGGAAGUCAUAUUAUGCACUGAUUCAUGAAAUAUGCAUCAAGUAUUGGUUAAACAGAAUGGAAGAGAACAUGAAAAAACUACAUGGAGGUCCUUUGCCGCCCUCUGCUGCCUAAGCAGCCCGUGUGCUGCUGUUUAGUUAAGGCCCCCCCAGCAGAGGAGCGUGCAAGAGGGAAAGGAAGACAAGAAAGGGAGACCGCUGCUACAGAAAAUGCCAAUACUGACCUCCUUCCUCUGUUCGUACUGGCUGGUAUUUACGAAAACUUGCACCCUCUGAGAAAUGCAGCGCUUCGUUCCCUUUAGCUCCGCUUACGCCCUUUAAAUGGAAACAGAAGCGGGCGCCCAUGUAGUCUUUCAGAUCCCUCUUUUCUGAAGAAAAUAGAUUCCGUAAAGGUCAAAAUUUAUAGCCCUUAAGCUUUCCAUUUCCUGCAGAAAUGCCCCAGCCUUGAAGGGCCUAAUCACACCAGAAGCUCGAAACGGGAUGUGCGGGACUCGGAGCCUAGUCGCAUUCCUUCCACGGCUAAUGCUUUUGGAGCAUAUCCACGCUGCUGCCUGCGAGCCUUGGGCAUGGGCCAGGAACCCGCUCACAUCCGGCUACAGCAUGGUAGCAGUCGUUUACAACUUCUGGAAACAAAUAUUUUUUGAUUUGAGGUCUUUUUGUUUUGAGGUUGGGGUAUUUUGUUUUUUUUUUUUUUAGUUUUAUGUCAUGUAACAUGAGCUGUAAAGAAAAUAAUGAAACUCCCAGCUGUAUUAACCGUGUUUGCUGUUGCUUGUGCCCAUGUGGUUGAUGGAAAGGUCACACCGAAACCGAGUGCGCUAAGAGCUGCAACAGUUAAAAAUGAAAUACAAAUCCCAUAUCUCAGGAUCUCAUUCUACAGCUUGGGUUUUCCUCUUCCAAAAUUCCCCUUCAAAAGCAUAUUGCAACGGUUCUCCUGAACAGUUCCUUCUUUAGUGGUUAUCUUCAAGAGCUUUUGUCUUUUUGCAUGGAAAUUAGCUUACCAUUUCCCAAGGAUACUCCCAAACACUCCAGCUUUUUGUUACUUAUCUUUAUUAUCCUGAUGCACUUUUACAAGUGUGCUUGAGCUUUGAGAUGUAAAUCAAAUUAGAUUCCCUGCGCAGAAAAAACUAAUCUAAAUUAAGAGGAGGACAGAGAGGGAGAACAAGCUUGUAUCGUGCACUAGUAUGUAUCGCGUACUAAGCCGCUGAAGGCAGCCAGCUGCUCAGCAUCAAGCAGAGCUCAACAGCUACUACUGAAGAGGGAAGAGGGGUUAAGAGCAGGGAGAGGAAUUAAUAGCACAGAGAG
Struthio camelus australis is the source of this 1954-nucleotide long non-coding RNA. Lineage: Eukaryota; Metazoa; Chordata; Aves; Struthioniformes; Struthionidae. The record is from Ensembl.